RNAcentral lists this ribosomal RNA (253 nucleotides) under uncultured bacterium. RNAcentral's name for it is "partial 16S ribosomal RNA". It matches the Rfam family "Bacterial small subunit ribosomal RNA", at positions 524 to 776 of the family's 1533-position model. The record is from RNAcentral.
UACAGAGGUCCCAAGCGUUGUUCGGAUUCACUGGGCGUAAAGGGUGCGUAGGUGGCUUUGCAAGUCUGAUGUGAAAUCUCCGGGCCCAACCCGGAAAUGGCAUCGGAAACUGUGAGGCUUGAGGCUUGGAGGGGGAACUGGAAUUCUCGGUGUAGCAGUGAAAUGCGUAGAGAUCGAGAGGAACACCAGUGGCGAAGGCGAGUCCCUGGACAGGUCCUGACGCUGAGGCACGAAAGCUAGGGGAGCAAACAGG